RNAcentral lists this ribosomal RNA (365 nucleotides) under uncultured eukaryote. RNAcentral's name for it is "partial 18S ribosomal RNA". It matches the Rfam family "Eukaryotic small subunit ribosomal RNA", at positions 592 to 976 of the family's 1831-position model. The record is from RNAcentral.
CAAUAGCGUAUAUUUAAGUUGUUGCAGUUAAAAAGCUCGUAGUCGGAUUUUGGCUGAGAACGAUCGGUCCGCCGUUAGGUGUGCACUGAUUGGUCUCAGCUUCCUGGUGAGGAGGUUUGCUUCACGGCCACUUAGUCACCGUGGUUACUUUGAAAAAAUUAGAGUGUUCAAAGCGGGCUUACGCUUGAAUAUAUUAGCAUGGAAUAACACCAUAGGACUCCUGUCCUAUUUCGUUGGUCUCGGGACGGGAGUAAUGAUUAAGAGGAACAGUUGGGGGCAUUCGUAUUUCAUUGUCAGAGGUGAAAUUCUUGGAUUUAUGAAAGACGAACUUCUGCGAAAGCAUUUGCCAAGGAUGUUUUCAUUGA